RNAcentral lists this ribosomal RNA (497 nucleotides) under uncultured bacterium. Its description in RNAcentral is "partial 16S ribosomal RNA". It matches the Rfam family "Bacterial small subunit ribosomal RNA", at positions 28 to 507 of the family's 1533-position model. The record is from RNAcentral.
GAUGAACGCUGGCGGCGUGCCUAAUACAUGCAAGUCGAGCGAACGGACGAGAAGCUUGCUUCUCUGAUGUUAGCGGCGGACGGGUGAGUAACACGUGGAUAACCUACCUAUAAGACUGGGAUAACUUCGUGAAACCGGAGCUAAUACCGGAUAAUAUUUUGAACCGCAUGGUUCAAAAGUGAAAGACGGUCUUGCUGUCACUUAUAGAUGGAUCCGCGCUGCAUUAGCUAGUUGGUAAGGUAACGGCUUACCAAGGCAACGAUGCAUAGCCGACCUGAGAGGGUGAUCGGCCACACUGGAACUGAGACACGGUACAGACUCCUACGGGAGGCAGCAGUAGGGAAUCUUCCGCAAUGGGCGAAAGCCUGACGGAGCAACGCCGCGUGAGUGAUGAAGGUCUUCGGAUCGUAAAACUCUGUUAUUAGGGAAGAACAUAUGUGUAAGUAACUGUGCACAUCUUGACGGUACCUAAUCAGAAAGCCACGGCUAACUACGUG